Long non-coding RNA from Etheostoma cragini (Arkansas darter), 100 nucleotides. RefSeq lists it as uncharacterized. The record is from RefSeq and is a predicted model, not a curated record. The transcript has 3 exons. NCBI's taxonomy places the organism in Eukaryota, Metazoa, Chordata, Actinopteri, Perciformes, Percidae.
GUUAAAGUGAACCUAACAUAAAAUGGCUAUUGGCUGCAUAUGUAUAGGGCUGGGGACCGAAUUCAUUAGUUUAUAGGCAGUGAAUUGGCUCUAAAGUGUC